GGAGGCUCCGCAGGCCACCUGGAGACAGGGAAGAGGAGGUUGGGGAGGUGGGGGAAUAGCUUGCCCUCCUCCUACCACCCCGGCCUCAACCUCUUCUGAGGGGACAGACCAACUUAGACCACUGAGAACUCUACUCCUGCCCCGCUGCACAGGUGAGCAAAGGGAGGGCUGCAGAGGGGAUGAGAGCCGGUCUUUAAACACCCAGAAGGUAACCAGAGCCGGCAGCCUGUCGCAACCAUGCAGGUCAUACUCCGUGGCCUGACUGCCCUCACUCACGAUCCAGAGGCCUCCUGCUACCAUAACCCUGGACUCUAGUGAAAGUAGCAACUGACAGGUCCUCCUUUGUCUCCUUGCUCACCCAACAGCCAGUUCCUCAAAAGACAAGAAUUCCCAGCCCUACCCACAGCUAUGGCUACUUGAGCCCACGGAGGAAGGAAUGAGGGCUCUCUUAAUGACGACCGUUUUAUUUUGCAACGACUUUGUGCAUGACCUACUCUGGAGACAAUUCUGCCACUGAGUCUGAUGUGACCGCUUUGCACUGCAGGACCACCAGGCAGCACAUCCCUCCGUCUCAAUCAUUCCCUGGGCCCAUCUCCCUCCAGGCAUCUUGAAACCAAAAUACUCUCCAAACCUCCAACCUCCCACGUGCCCAUAGACUAGGGAUCAGCAAACUACAGCCCAUUGCCUGUCUCUGCAAAUAAAGUUUUACUGAAACAU
Leopardus geoffroyi (Geoffroy's cat) is the source of this 717-nucleotide long non-coding RNA. RefSeq lists it as uncharacterized. The transcript has 2 exons. Lineage: Eukaryota; Metazoa; Chordata; Mammalia; Carnivora; Felidae. The record is from RefSeq and is a predicted model, not a curated record.